GAUCCUCUCUCCUCCCCGAGUGGCUCACCGGCUUUACGUCGGUUGGUGGCCCCGUCUGGGACCGAACCGGGCACCGCCUUGUGAAAAAAAAAGAAUAGAAUAUACCCUGUUAAAUCAGACAUGAUACUUGCUUUUGUGGAGCUUAUGCUUUAGUGCAGAAACAGAAAGUCAAGCAAAAACUCAAACUAUGUAACUUUAAAUUGGAUAUGUGCUAAUGAAGGAAAAUGUGGCACUGUAAGAAAAAAUAAUAGGGAGUUAAAGGAUAAAUAGGAAUUUGCUGGAUGAAAUUUAUGAAGGGCUGAAGAUUUCAAACAAAAGAAACUGAUGCAGAAGGGUGCAGCUUUGGAGUCAAGAAUGAAGUUCUAGGAGAUAAGAGAGCAAGGAAAUGGUGGGAGAGGAGGUCAAAAAAUACUAGGCUUUAGAAUUUCACCUUAUGAAUUUUGGGAGAGAGGAGCACAGUUCAGCCCAUAACUAACACACGACGGAAUGAAGUUGAUAAUAGUGAGACCUUGUUGGUACAAGACUCUGUAACAUAACCUGCGCUUCUCAACAAAGAAUUGCUUUUCUGACUUCUGCACUCAAUAGCAAGACAAAUCUCUCCUCUGUCUUUUUCUUAUCAGACUACUCAACAUGAAGGCAAUAAGAAUGAAGACCUUUAUGUAUAAUAAUUGACUUCCACUUAAUAAAUAAGGUUACUUGGUACACUGGUCGACAAAACCUUGAAAUGUUGAUGUUUAAGGGCUGUUGAUUGCUGGCAACAAAGAAGUCCAACUGUGCUGGUACCCGAGAUAGCGUCUCCACAUUUUCUUCCAGGAUC
Molecule: long non-coding RNA, 817 nt
Filed under: Pan troglodytes (chimpanzee)
Lineage: Eukaryota; Metazoa; Chordata; Mammalia; Primates; Hominidae
Description: lincRNA
Source: RNAcentral